RNAcentral lists this ribosomal RNA (65 nucleotides) under Holophagales bacterium. Its description in RNAcentral is "partial 16S ribosomal RNA". The record is from RNAcentral. Lineage: Bacteria; Pseudomonadati; Acidobacteriota; Holophagae; Holophagales.
GAUUCAACUGGAGAGUUUGAUCCUGGCUCAGAAUCAACGCUGGCGGCGUGCCUCAUACAUGCAAG